GAUGAACGCUGGCGGCGUGCCUAAUACAUGCAAGUCGAGCGAACAGACGAGGAGCUUGCUCCUCUGACGUUAGCGGCGGACGGGUGAGUAACACGUGGAUAACCUACCUAUAAGACUGGGAUAACUUCGGGAAACCGGAGCUAAUACCGGAUAAUAUAUUGAACCGCAUGGUUCAAUAGUGAAAGACGGUUUUGCUGUCACUUAUAGAUGGAUCCGCGCCGCAUUAGCUAGUUGGUAAGGUAACGGCUUACCAAGGCGACGAUGCGUAGCCGACCUGAGAGGGAGAUCGGCCACACGGGAACUGAGACACGGCCCAGACUCCUACGGGAGGCAGCAGUAGGGAAUCUUCCGCAAAGGGCGAAAGCGUGACGGAGCAACGCCGCGUGAGGGAUGAAGGUCUUCGGAUCGGAAAGCGCUGUUAGUAGGGAAGAACAAAUGUGUAAGUAACUAUGCACGUCUUGACGGUACCUAAUCAGAAAGCCACGGCUAACUACGUG
This 497-nucleotide ribosomal RNA is filed under the name uncultured bacterium. RNAcentral describes it as "partial 16S ribosomal RNA". It matches the Rfam family "Bacterial small subunit ribosomal RNA", at positions 28 to 507 of the family's 1533-position model. The record is from RNAcentral.